This 74-nucleotide transfer RNA is filed under the name Phytophthora infestans T30-4. It matches the Rfam family "tRNA". From Rfam's summary of the family: Transfer RNA (tRNA) molecules are approximately 80 nucleotides in length. Their secondary structure includes four short double-helical elements and three loops (D, anti-codon, and T loops). Further hydrogen bonds mediate the characteristic L-shaped molecular structure. tRNAs have two regions of fundamental functional importance: the anti-codon, which is responsible for specific mRNA codon recognition, and the 3' end, to which the tRNAs corresponding amino acid is attached (by aminoacyl-tRNA synthetases). tRNAs cope with the degeneracy of the genetic code in two manners: having more than one tRNA (with a specific anti-codon) for a particular amino acid; and 'wobble' base-pairing, i.e. permitting non-standard base-pairing at the 3rd anti-codon position. Lineage: Eukaryota; Oomycota; Peronosporomycetes; Peronosporales; Peronosporaceae. The record is from Rfam by way of RNAcentral.
ACCCGUCUAGCUCAGUCGGUAGAGCGCUGGCCUAUUAAGCCAGUGGUCGUGGGUUCGGGGCCCCACGGGGGGUG